AUGAGAAUCAGAAGGAUCACUACAAGAAACUAUCCAUUUUACGACACGUGUGUUGUGACCCUUGAGAAAGUUGAGCCUUUUCAUUUCAAGGCCCGCGACGGUUACCAAAACCGCCCUAACCCAGGAUUUGCGACGGAUUUCUUUUUAAUUAAGAAGCAAAAGGAUGGAGGGGUUCUCUUGCCACCUGCAAUUGGUGAUGUGAAUCACAAUUUAAAUGCAUGGUUUAGCCUGAGGAAGAAAUAA
This is a non-coding RNA of Vicia faba (fava bean), 243 nucleotides long. Lineage: Eukaryota; Viridiplantae; Streptophyta; Magnoliopsida; Fabales; Fabaceae. The record is from the annotation of a GenBank genome assembly.